This 101-nucleotide small nuclear RNA is filed under the name Rhinolophus ferrumequinum (greater horseshoe bat). The record is from RNAcentral. Lineage: Eukaryota; Metazoa; Chordata; Mammalia; Chiroptera; Rhinolophidae.
GUGCUCGCUUCGGCAGUACAUAUACUAAAAUUGGAACGAUACAGAGAAGAUUAGCAUGGCCCCUGAGCAAGGAUGACAUGCAACAAAUGAAGAUAGUUUAA